CUGGCUCAGGAUGAACGCUAGCUACAGGCUUAACACAUGCAAGUCGAGGGCAGCGGGAAGUCAGCUUGCUGACUUGCCGGCGACCGGCGCACGGGUGCGUAACACGUAUCCAAUCUACCCAUUGCUCAGGGAUAGCCUUUCGAAAGAAAGAUUAAUACCUGAUGGUCUGUGUUUGGGACAUCCCAGACACAGUAAAGACUUGUCGGCGAUGGAUGGGGAUGCGUCCGAUUAGGUAGUAGGCGGGGUAACGGCCCACCUAGCCGACGAUCGGUAGGGGUUCUGAGAGGAAGGUCCCCCACACUGGAACUGAGACACGGUCCAGACUCCUACGGGAGGCAGCAGUGAGGAAUAUUGGUCAAUGGGCGAAGGCCUGAACCAGCCCAAGUAGCGUGAGGGAGGACGGCCCUACGGGUUGUAAACCUCUUUUGUUCGGGAAUAAAGUGCGGGACGUGUCCCGCUUUGUAUGUACCUUACGAAUAAGCAUCGGCUAAUUCCGUGCCAGCCGCGGC
Molecule: ribosomal RNA, 509 nt
Filed under: uncultured bacterium
Lineage: Bacteria
Description: bacterial SSU rRNA
Rfam family: Bacterial small subunit ribosomal RNA
Source: RNAcentral